CAAUUACGUAAUUUUGGAGUCACGUGACCAGCGUUUACCAGGGCUAUGUCGCCGCCUUCAAUUCGCGACUAGCCCUGGGUACGAGGUUGGGGUCAGCCUGGGAUUGCAUAAACCCUUCCUUCGCCAAGUAGUUAUGAAGUGUUGCAUUCCAGUUCCUACCACUCUGUUUGAGACCGUACAGAGACUUAUUUAGUUUGCAAACAAGUUUCUUACCAUUUCCCCCCACUUUUUCAUAGCCCUUAGGUUGUUCAACAAAGAUG
Paramuricea clavata is the source of this 260-nucleotide non-coding RNA. NCBI's taxonomy places the organism in Eukaryota, Metazoa, Cnidaria, Anthozoa, Malacalcyonacea, Plexauridae. The record is from the annotation of a GenBank genome assembly.